AACCAUAGAAACCUGCGGAGUACCUGCGGAGGGAUCAUUAACAAAAUUGGGUUGGUUGGUGGUGUGGGUGGGGGGGGGGUUAGUGGUGUGGUGUGGUGUGGUGUGGGGUGGGGUGGGGUGGGUUGAUUGAUGAGGGAUGACUCUCUUAUUCACACACUCACACACAUACAUACACACACACACACACACUCACUCACUCACUCACUCGCACACUCACUCACAUUCAUUCAAUCAACCGAU
Molecule: unclassified non-coding RNA, 240 nt
Filed under: soil metagenome
Description: partial contains 5.8S ribosomal RNA, internal transcribed spacer 2, and large subunit ribosomal RNA
Source: RNAcentral